AGUAAUUAAGUGGAAUACAGAGUAAAAAAAUAUUUACUCUAAAAGUGUUAUUUAAUCACACCCAAUAACCCUCUCCCUCGCUGGAUUUUAGUUAAACCAAUGAUUACCAUAUGAUCAUUAUCUAAUCAAAGAUAAAUAUACAACAUGCUAAGCACAAAAAAGAAGAUAAAUAUACAACAUCGAUUUGGAUCAUCCAAGAACUCUUAGUUAACGAGGUUUACAAAAAUAAAUAAUGAGAUUGUGGCGUCGAACAACAUAGACAUCGAGGUCAAAGGACUUAAGUGGUGCGUUAUGGACAUGGUGGCCAAUAUAUAAAUAAAGAUUAAAGAAUCCGACCAACGUUAAACAAUUCUGUCUGGAUGUGACAAUGACUCGACC
Molecule: long non-coding RNA, 378 nt
Filed under: Brassica rapa (field mustard)
Lineage: Eukaryota; Viridiplantae; Streptophyta; Magnoliopsida; Brassicales; Brassicaceae
Description: long non-coding RNA (BRAP_LNC006058)
Source: RNAcentral